Molecule: ribosomal RNA, 85 nt
Filed under: uncultured bacterium
Lineage: Bacteria
Description: partial 23S ribosomal RNA
Rfam family: Bacterial large subunit ribosomal RNA
Source: RNAcentral
GUGGAUGCCUUGGCGAUUACAGGCGAUGAAGGACGUUGUAGCCUGCGAUAAGCUUCGGGGAGCUGGCAAACAAGCUUUGAUCCGA